GGAAUUAAAAACUAUGAGGCAAAACCGCCCCUGAGCACGCCGUCCGUGGGCCUGGCCGCCCGGCACGGCGGCUGCGGGCGGCUGGUGAGGCUGAGGAGAUCCUCAGCCGUCACCCCGCACCGAGCCCUCAGAGCUGUCAGGAUGUCCCUGGCACAAAGGGAAAAGAAAACCAGGGAUGCCAAAAUGCAAUUUGUUUUCUUUUCGGGAUGCAGUUGUAGCCCAGCAAUAGCUCCCUCAGGUUGGCCCAAGGGACUUGCAGCUGGAAUGCCAUUGCUGCUUGAGAAAUGACACAGACGGAGAGGUUUGAACCAGCCAACUCACAUGAAUAAGUGGAGGAGAGACCCCAUUUCAUCCUGGCAGUGCUUCUGGAAACAGGGCCAAUUCAUUAGCCAGAGAUCUCUGCAUCCCUCAGCAGAACAGCCUGUUCUCCCUGCCCUGUGAUCUCCUUCUGCUCUCCCACCAUCCUCAGAGGUUGCUACUUGGAGUGGGACAGCCUUGGAAAGCUGCAGCCUCAGCGCAGCUGAUUCUUACCCCGAUUUAUUUCUAUAUAUUUGUCUUUGCA
Molecule: long non-coding RNA, 562 nt
Organism: Pipra filicauda (Wire-tailed manakin)
Lineage: Eukaryota; Metazoa; Chordata; Aves; Passeriformes; Pipridae
Exons: 3
Source: RefSeq, a predicted model, not a curated record